Long non-coding RNA from Lates calcarifer (barramundi perch), 597 nucleotides. RefSeq lists it as uncharacterized. The transcript has 5 exons. Lineage: Eukaryota; Metazoa; Chordata; Actinopteri; Centropomidae. The record is from RefSeq and is a predicted model, not a curated record.
AUGCAAAGCGGCCCACCACACUGUAUAAAACUAUGCGUGACUUCCGCUCAGCCUCUCAGUCCACUGCCGCCGUGUUAACAUGACGUCUGUGCAACUCCUCGCUCAGUCCGAGACGCUGUGUGUACUGGUGAACAAAUGCUGUGACAGUGUGGCAGACCCAGGGUAGUGCCUGUGCUCCUGCUUUGCUUUGAAGUCUUGAGGCAGAGCCUCUGAUCUGCUCACCAUGGAGCUGACAGUUGUGCUGCAGGCUGACUGAAGGAGCAUGUGGGGCAGCUGGCCUGCAGGGGGCAGCAAACACAGGAGGAACAGUGACUGUUAUCAGUGUGCUGAGUGAAGUCCUGCUGCUCUGGUCUGGAGGAGUGGAUAAGAUCCUGUGCCAGUCCACGUGCUGGGGUGCUGACAGUUAUCAGUGCACUCCCAUGUUUCAGCCAUGUUUGCUCAACUUGAUUGAGGCUGUAAAUCGAUCUUGUGGUAUAAAUGUCGGUGCAUAAUGUCCUGAAGGAAACAGUCAGGCUGAUAUGUUGAUACUGGAAUGUAAAAUGUGUGGUCUUGAAUUAAGUCAUUACAGCUGUUGGAAUUAAAUUUGAUGUUGCAGCA